UUAUCAUGAUGAGCAACAUUGGUCCGUGUUACUGAGCGGCCUCAAGAACCGCAUCA
RNAcentral lists this small nucleolar RNA (56 nucleotides) under Botrytis cinerea B05.10. Its description in RNAcentral is "small nucleolar RNA SNORD18". Lineage: Eukaryota; Fungi; Ascomycota; Leotiomycetes; Helotiales; Sclerotiniaceae. The record is from RNAcentral.